This 323-nucleotide ribosomal RNA is filed under the name uncultured eukaryote. RNAcentral describes it as "partial 18S ribosomal RNA". It matches the Rfam family "Eukaryotic small subunit ribosomal RNA", at positions 1470 to 1796 of the family's 1831-position model. The record is from RNAcentral.
CCCUUAGAUGUUCUGGGCCGCACGCGCGCUACACUGAACGGUUCAAUGGGUAAGGUAGUGCGAAAGCAUGACCUAAUCUCGAAAUCCGUUCGUGCUGGGGAUAGAAGCUUGCAAUUAUCCUUCUUGAACGAGGAAUACCUUGUAAGCGUGAGUCAUCAUCUCACGCUGAAUACGUCCCUGCCCUUUGUACACACCGCCCGUCGCUCCUACCGAUUGAGUGUUCCGGUGAGGCUUUGGGAGAAUGGCCUCAACAUGAGUUUAUCGUGUUUUGCCGUUUGAACUUAGUCAAACCUUAUCACUUAGAGGAAGGAGAAGUCGUAACA